GGGAGGGUCAUUGGAAACUGGGGAACUUGAGUGCAGAAGAGGAGAGUGGAAUUCCACGUGUAGCGGUGAAAUGCGUAGAGAUGUGGAGGAACACCAGUGGCGAAGGCGACUCUCUGGUCUGUAACUGACGCUGAGGAGCGAAAGCGUGGGGAGCGAACAGGAUUAGAUACCCUGGUAGUCCACGCCGUAAACGAUGAGUGCUAAGUGUUAGGGGGUUUCCGCCCCUUAGUGCUGCAGCUAACGCAUUAAGCACUCCGCCUGGGGAGUACGGUCGCAAGACUGAAACUCAAAGGAAUUGACGGGGGCCCGCACAAGCGGUGGAGCAUGUGGUUUAAUUCGAAGCAACGCGAAGAACCUUACCAGGUCUUGACAUCCUCUGACAAUCCUAGAGAUAGGACGUCCCCUUCGGGGGCAGAGUGACAGGUGGUGCAUGGUUGUCGUCAGCUCGUGUCGUGAGAUGUUGGGUUAAGUCCCGCAACGAGCGCAACCCUUGAUCUUAGUUGCCAGCAUUCAGUUGGGCACUCUAAGGUGACUGCCGGUGACAAACCGGAGGAAGGUGGGGAUGACGUCAAAUCAUCAUGCCCCCUAUGACCUGGGCUACACACGUGCUACAAUGGACAGAACAAAGGGCAGCGAAACCGCGAGGUUAAGCCAAUCCCACAAAUCUGUUCUCAGUUCGGAUCGCAGUCUGCAACUCGACUGCGUGAAGCUGGAAUCGCUAGUAAUCGCGGAUCAGCAUGCCGCGGUGAUACGUUCCCGGGCCUUGUACACACCGCCCGUCACACCACGAGAGUUUGUAACACCCGAAGUCGGUGAGGUAACCU
Molecule: ribosomal RNA, 824 nt
Filed under: uncultured Bacillota bacterium
Lineage: Bacteria; Bacillati; Bacillota
Description: bacterial SSU rRNA
Rfam family: Bacterial small subunit ribosomal RNA
Source: RNAcentral